This 403-nucleotide ribosomal RNA is filed under the name uncultured bacterium. RNAcentral's name for it is "bacterial SSU rRNA". It matches the Rfam family "Bacterial small subunit ribosomal RNA", at positions 355 to 774 of the family's 1533-position model. The record is from RNAcentral.
UGAGGGAUAUUGGUCAAUGGGCGCAAGCCUGAACCAGCGACGCCGCGUGGGUGAAGAAGGUCUUCGGAUCGUAAAGCCCUUUUCCCACUGAAGAGGAAGGACGGUAGGUGGGGAAGAAGUCUCGGCUAACUACGUGCCAGCAGCCGCGGUAAAACGUAGGAGACAAGCGUUAUCCGGAGUUACUGGGCGUAAAGGGCGUGCAGGUGGCGUCUUAAGUCUGUUGUGAAAGCGCCUGGCUUAACCGGGCGAGGCCAAUGGAGACUGAGAGGCUGGAGGACGGCGGAGGGGUGUGGAAUUCCGGGUGUAGUGGUGAAAUGCGUAGAGAUCCGGAGGAACACCAGAGGCGAAGGCGGCACUCUAAGCCGUACCUGACACUGAGACGCGACAGCACGGGGAGCAAACG